This 438-nucleotide ribosomal RNA is filed under the name Triticum aestivum (bread wheat). Its description in RNAcentral is "partial small subunit ribosomal RNA". The record is from RNAcentral. Lineage: Eukaryota; Viridiplantae; Streptophyta; Magnoliopsida; Poales; Poaceae.
AUGGCGGGGGUCCUGGAUGCUUUGGCAUCCUACAUGACCAGCAUGCUCUCCGAGAUGGCCAAAGAGGAGGUCGCCAUGCUAAUCGGCGUGUCCGACGGGAUCAAAGACCUGAGCAUCAAGCUUGGGGACCUCAAGAAUUUCCUUGCUGAUGCUGAUAGGAGGAACAUCACCGAUGAGAGUGUGCGUGGGUGGGUGGGGGAACUGAAGCGUGCCAUGUACCUGGCCACUGACAUCGUCGACCUAUGUCAGCUCAAGGCCAUGGAGCAAGGUCAAACCAAGGACAGGGGGUGCCUUAACCCUCUGCUCGUUUGCAUGCGGAAUCCCCUGCACGCCCAUGACAUCGGCACCCGCAUCAAGAUGCUCAACCAAAAUUUGGAUGAUAUUUGCAAGAGGGGCAGCAGUUUCAAUUUCAUCAAGCUAGAAGCCUACCAAGACCGA